This 334-nucleotide long non-coding RNA is filed under the name Lynx pardinus (Iberian lynx). The record is from RNAcentral. Lineage: Eukaryota; Metazoa; Chordata; Mammalia; Carnivora; Felidae.
AGGGGCCGCAUUUCCCCGAGCAGGGCCGCGCACAAAGGCCCUAGGCCCGGGCCGCACUCACCGAAGUCCAGGAACUGCUUCAUAGAGAGCGGGGACGGCGAGAAGCGCGCGUAGAAGUCCACCUGGCCCGGAACGCCGCUUUCGGGCGCCGGCCCGGAGGCCGAGUCCGAGGUGAAGCUGCGGCUGGCGCCGGGGCUGGCCGCGCGCAGCCCGGAGCCCGGGCCGGCCGAGGCGGCUCCGCGAAGCAGCCGCGCCAGCCUCAUGCCGAGCCCCGCCGGAGGAGCCGGAGCUGGGGUAGCCAGGUCGCCGCUCAGCGCCUCGGCCGGGCGGUACG